This 1514-nucleotide ribosomal RNA is filed under the name Triticum aestivum (bread wheat). Its description in RNAcentral is "partial small subunit ribosomal RNA". Lineage: Eukaryota; Viridiplantae; Streptophyta; Magnoliopsida; Poales; Poaceae. The record is from RNAcentral.
ACCACGAUCCCUUCCCUCCCCUCGCCCUCCCGCAUCGCGCCGCCAUCCACCUCGUCUCCCCGAUCCAGAUGGAGAUCCAAAGCCCUAGCCCACUCUCCCCUGCUCCGCCUCCAUGUCCAUGGCGACGGACGCCUCCCCCCUCCGGCGCGCAAGAGCCCGGGGCCUCAGCCGGCGGCAGAACCCCCUGAAGACAGCGUCCCGCCGCUGCCGGCGGGGUAUAUCUUCAUGUGCAGCGGCGAGACCAAGCCCGAGUGCUUCAGUUACAGGGUGCUGGGUCUGCCGCGGGGGAAGCUGGACGCCGUCUCCCCGAUCAGGCGUGGCGCUGUGCUCUUCCUCUACGACUUCCACGCCAAGUACCUCUACGGGCCCUACCACGCCAAGACGGUGCGCGCGCUGCUGGCGGUGCUCGGCGAGGACGACCGCCGAGAGGGGAUGCGCAGGAUGCCCAAGCGCGUCGCCAAGGCCUUCCGCGACGGCACCCGAGGGAACCAGGCUCUCAAAACCAAGUCAAACUCCGACAGCAAGUCAUUGGUCGAGAUAAGGGGGCGGACGAUGCAAGCGAAGCGGCGAAUCAUCAGAUACCAGGUGAAUAAGAAGGUAUGCAGAGAUCAAGUCUGGGUCCAGUUAUUAUCAGGAUACAACAUAGAAACUUACACUACAAGUAGUAGUCUAAAUCAAAGAACUCACCCUGUUUAUCUGAUCUUUGCAGCUGCUAGAUUUGAGUGGUAUCGUCACUGUAUUCUUCUGUGGUAUUGUGAUGUCACAUUACACCUGGCAUAACAUGACAGAGAGAGUUACAACAAAGUAACCUUAGUUCUUAGUCUGUGUUAUUUCAAUAUAAGCAAUCUUAUGUUCAGUCAAAAACUGUUGCAGGUGCUACUACGAGUAGUGCUUGUAAUUUAGUUUUGCUCUACCAAUCGUCAAUUAAUUCCCUGGUUACUACUAUGUAGGGGAUGUUACUGUUCAGUGAAAAACCUGCAUUGCAAGAUAUACUACAGUGCAGGUCCUUGUGGUACUAUGGGAUUUAUUAGCUGUUUGGAGAUGUACUCAUAUUGUGCCAUGUAUUUUAUUAGCUAUAUGAUUACACAUGUCAGUUUUAUUAUCAAAAUCUGAACUGUAGUAGCUAUGUAUUUUAUUAGCUAUUGGUUCUUUCUUUCUUCAGGGCUAUGAGUUGAUGGGCACGCUGCUGUUUUUGCUCUGCUUGAUAAUUCUUUUACUGUCCGGUCUGCUCUGCUCUGCAUAGUUUCCAGUUGCUUAUAAAACGAUAAAACAGUGGUGAUGUGAGGUCCGACAAUGAUGCUGGCAUUUGUUCAUGUCGCAAGCUCCAGGAUGAAAAGUGAAGAAGCAUUUAGUUCUAGCUCAUUGGAGCUAGUUAUACUUUUAUAGAUAGUUAUAUUUUGAUAUUUGGCUGUGUUCUUGGUGGUUGUAAACCUGAUGUGAAGUAUGUUCGAUUAUAAACGUGGUGUGAACUAUGUUUGAUUGUAAUGUACCAUAUUUGGUUGUUUGAUCUGUUU